AAAUGGGUUUCACCCUCCCCUUACCCAGUGGGGUUGUAUAUAUUUGGUUUUGGUAGUUUUGGGCGUUUUUCUACCGACUUGGGCUGCUCCCCUUCUGUUCUUUGGGUGGCUUUCGGCCAUGGAUACGUGAAAUGCAGAUCUGAUCUCUGAUCCAACAUGGUCUCUUGGUUCAAUGUCGUCAGGUCGGCGUCUCAGAGUCCUUAAGCAAGCACAAUGUUUACCUCCUGACCCUUGAACGCAAGCCACCAAUUGAGCUCUGGCAGUCGAACGCUUCACCGCAUGUCACUGAGUUCGACUAACUCUAUGCUGUGGCCCCCGACUGUUCUUCUGGAAUAUGUGUUUUGGGCGUGUGUCCUAUGUUUCUAGUGCUUUACUUUGGUUUUCAAAAGCCUGGAAGGACUCUUUCCACGGCUGCUGGUUGCUGGAGGCAGGCGGUAGUGCGUGCAUGUUUUCUUCUGGUUUGUGGUUAGUCUAAGGUUUACCUUUUGGGCCAUAACCGUUUGGACUACAUUUUA
This 515-nucleotide unclassified non-coding RNA is filed under the name Hevea brasiliensis (rubber tree). The record is from RNAcentral. Lineage: Eukaryota; Viridiplantae; Streptophyta; Magnoliopsida; Malpighiales; Euphorbiaceae.